UUAAAUACCGACCUGCAUGAAUGGCGUAACGAGAUGGGAGCUGUCUCAAAGAGGGAUCCAGUGAAAUUGUAGUGGAGGUGAAAAUUCCUCCUUCCCGCGGCAAGACGGAGAGACCCCGUGGACCUUUACUAUAGCUUGACACUGCUAUUUGGAUAAAGAUGUGCAGGAUAGGUGGGAGGCUUUGAAGCUAGGACGCCAGUUCUAGCAGAGCCAUUGUUGAGAUACCACUCUUCUUUAUUUGGGUAGCUAACUAGCUUGAGUUAUCCUCAAGUAGGACAAUGUCUGGUGGGUAGUUUGACUGGGGCGGUCGCCUCCCAAAUAAUAACGGAGGCUUACAAAGGUUGGCUCAAAAUGGUUGGAAAUCAUUUGUAGAGUAUAAAGGCAUAAGCCAGCUUAACUGCGAGUCAUACAAGACGAGCAGAGACGAAAGUCGGUCUUAGUGAUCCGGUGGUUCUGUGUGGAAGGGCCAUCGCUCAAAGGAUAAAAGGUACCCCGGGGAUAACAGGCUGAUCUCCCCCAAGAGCUCACAUCGACGGGGAGGUUUGGCACCUCGAUGUCGGCUCAUCGCAUCCUGGGGCUGGAGCAGGUCCCAAGGGUAUGGCUGUUCGCCAUU
This 613-nucleotide ribosomal RNA is filed under the name Campylobacter coli. Its description in RNAcentral is "bacterial LSU rRNA". It matches the Rfam family "Bacterial large subunit ribosomal RNA", at positions 1976 to 2588 of the family's 2925-position model. The record is from RNAcentral. Lineage: Bacteria; Pseudomonadati; Campylobacterota; Epsilonproteobacteria; Campylobacterales; Campylobacteraceae.